ACCACACACACUGCAGUGCUGCUGAGCACAUAAAAUAUCAAGUGCAUUCUUCUGCCUCAAGGUCACACUUACCUGUUUCCAAAGGAGUGAUGGUGGUGGAAAUGUUCCGACGUGACUGUGGAGCUGGAUGAGAGAAUGAAAAACCCACAAUAUGUCACAAAUUCAGAGGUGGUAUAACCUGGUGGCAAGAGCCUGCACUUUGGACUCAGACCAGACCUUGAUUCUAGGCCACCGAUGGCAUUUAAUAGCCAGCCGUGUGGAUGAAAGGCUCUUGGUGCUCCAGCCAGGCAUCAGGGCUGUGCCUCUGAGGUGGGAGAGCCAACUUCAGG
Eubalaena glacialis (North Atlantic right whale) is the source of this 329-nucleotide long non-coding RNA. RefSeq lists it as uncharacterized. The transcript has 3 exons. Lineage: Eukaryota; Metazoa; Chordata; Mammalia; Artiodactyla; Balaenidae. The record is from RefSeq and is a predicted model, not a curated record.